Molecule: RNA transcript, 2826 nt
Organism: Rhododendron vialii
Lineage: Eukaryota; Viridiplantae; Streptophyta; Magnoliopsida; Ericales; Ericaceae
Gene name: probable receptor-like protein kinase At1g49730
Exons: 11
Source: RefSeq, a predicted model, not a curated record
CGCUAAGUUCACACCUUUUCAUUCCGUUCCUAGAGUAGUUCCCAGAAGAAGAUUCUCUCUCUCUCGUUGUCUCUCUGGGGCACUUUCCUUCUUCGUCGCGACCAUGGUUGUCUACAGAACGGCCGCCUUGCUGGGUUUACUGUUUUUUCUUGAAAUGCAUUUUUCACUGAUAGUGUCAGCUACAGAUUGCCCCUUAGAUUUGAGUGGGUCGAACUUUACACUGGCUGCCUCCAUCUGCUCCAAUGAUGAAGACAGAGGAACGUGUUGCCGGUACCUCAAUGCCCUUAUUGCAGUUUCUAUUGCUCAAUAUGCAAAUCUCACUGGUGACCUUGGGGUCUCUUCAGAUCUAUCUCAGAUUUGCCUUGAUUCUAUAUCAGAAACCUUGGAACUUUAUGGAGUAACAACAAAUGCUACAGCGUUCUGUGGAUUUGGAACCAAAAUACCUGUUAACUAUGAGUGUCAGGGUAGAACAACUGUUACACAGAUGCUGGAGUCUCCGAAAUUUGCGAAUGUCACUGCAAAUUGCGAACUGCCCCUGUCGGCAGAUACCGAUUGCAGAACAUGUCUAAAUGCUGGCAUUCUGUAUCUUCGCAAUCUAAUAGGGGCAGUAGAUAACAUGACAUUGAGUACUUGUAGGGAUGCAACUUUUGUUGCCCUUGCAAGCCAAGUUGAUAAUGGGUCAGCUGUUGACAUUGCAAGCUGCUUCUUUGGGGUUCAAGGGCUAAUGACUCCCUCAGAUCAAACCCCAUCUUUGAGUUCACCACAGGCAUCUCCAAGUCCAUUGGUUGCCUCUAGCCCUAGCCAGGUCUCUUUGACUGUGCCUCUUAAACAAAAGCACCACGUCUACCAUCUCACAUUAAUUCCAGGUCUGGGCAUAGCAGUUACAGCGGUUGCUGUUAUGAUGCUGGUAGUUUUGAUAUUCCUGAUUCAGAGGAAGAGUAGAGAGCUAGAGAAUUCCGAUGCCAUUGAUAAGGCUUCUUCAAAAGCAUUUGGUCAGCUUCCCAGAAGAUUCCAAGGAGGUCCGACAUCAAUGUUUCGGAAAUUCACUCAUAAGGAGAUGAAGAAGGCAACCGAUAACUUCAACACUGUAAUUGGACAAGGGGGAUUUGGAACUGUUUUCAAAGCUCAGUUCAGUGAUGGUUCAGUGGUAGCUGUGAAGCGGAUGGACAAAGUUUCUGAGCAAGCUGAGGAUGAGUUCUGCAGAGAAAUAGAGCUUCUUGCUAGGCUGCAUCAUCGUCAUCUUGUAGCUCUCAGAGGCUUUUGCGUUGCAAGACGUGAGAGGUUUCUUGUAUAUGAGUUUAUGGCAAACGGUAGCUUAAAGGACCAUCUUCACAAUCCAGGCAGAAAUCCUCUGAGUUGGCAGAAUAGAAUUCAAAUUGCCAUUGAUGUGGCAAAUGCUCUGGAGUACCUCCAUUUCUAUUGUGAUCCUCCAUUGUGCCAUAGAGACAUCAAGUCCAGCAAUAUUUUGCUGGAUGAGAAUUUUGUUGCAAAGGUUGCUGAUUUUGGCCUUGCACAUGCUUCAAAAGAUGGCUCAAUUUGCUUUGAACCAGUCAACACUGACAUCAGAGGCACUCCAGGUUACAUGGAUCCAGAGUAUGUGGUCACCCAAGAACUCACCGAAAAAAGUGACGUGUACAGUUAUGGUGUGGUACUGUUAGAGUUGCUUACGGCAAGAAGAGCAAUACAGGACAGCAAGAAUUUGGUGGAGUGGUCCCAAGUCUUCAUGAAUUCAGAUUCAAGGCUUCCCGAGCUUGUGGACCCGACUAUUGCUGAUUCUUUCGACUUCGAUCAACUUCAAACAUUUGUGACAAUCAUAAGAUGGUGCAUCCAGAGGGAAGGAAGGGCAAGACCCUCUAUUAAACAAGUCCUACGGCUUCUGUACGAGUGUUCAGACCCAAUGCAUAGUGGGUUUGUUGAAGCUGUGGAAGAAGGAGAGUAUGAAGGAACUGAGGCAAAAGGAAGAACAACUAGAGGGAAAAUGCGCGGGGGUGAGUUGAUUUUUCACAGCGGAGAUGGUAGGUUUCUUGCUUCUUCUUCGAGUACAUCUAAGUCGUAUUGUAGUAGGCACUUUCUUCUUGAAAAUGGUUCUCCUCAAUCUCCUUCUGCUAUACCCUCCAUUUGAUUGGAAUCAUUCAGGGCAACCCUCAGAGAAAUCCACGCUCCGAUUCGUAAAGCACAGGAUCACAGUCCCUUGGUUAAUUCAGGGAGAGAGAGCGUGUGACCAUCAUACAAGGUGUCCUCUUGGCAGACUUGCUCUUAUGUGUGUCUAGGUCAAAUACAAACUCACAAGCAAGUUCAAAUCAGCAGCAUAAGAGGACUUCUCACUACAACUAAGGUAUUUUGUAAUCACUUCGUGCGCUCUAGGUAUUUUGUAAUCACUUCGUGCGCUGGAAUCUCCUACGUCAGCCUCCAUUGCUAUCUGGAACUCGGCUCUGCUAUAUUUUCUGGCAAACCUAAAUGUUGGCGGGUGCACGACUACUUUCCCUCCCGGUAUUAUGUAAUCAUUUAAUCACUUCCUGGCUAUAACCCUAAUCUGUUUGCUUGUGUAGUUCAUUCCAAGCGCGUACUUGAUGAAGUCCUGAACCUCUAUGCCAGGAGAAAAAGGCAGUGUUGCAAAAAGCAUAUGUCACUUACAAAUAUUCCAAAAAAGUUUAAAAAGUGACAUUUCGAAAUAUGUUCUAGUUCUGCAAGAGGAACCAGAGCUGCAAUAUUCUCCUAGCCCCUAGCAGCAAGCAGAAAUUUUGUCACCUUUUUUUCUGGGCAAUUUGAUCCAUAAGAACCAAACAACCAAAAGAGAAAUUAUGCGAGAAAUCCUCCAAAUCCUUG